Molecule: long non-coding RNA, 2109 nt
Organism: Rhinolophus ferrumequinum (greater horseshoe bat)
Lineage: Eukaryota; Metazoa; Chordata; Mammalia; Chiroptera; Rhinolophidae
Exons: 3
Source: RefSeq, a predicted model, not a curated record
GACUUAAAAGGAGAAAGAAAAAGAAAAAGAACAGGAGGCGGCCAUUCCCUGAGACCGAUAGACAGAUGGAGCCCAGGAGAUGGAGGUCACAGCCCUCUUCCCAGCCAGGCAGGAGCCGCCCACUCAUUUUGAAUUGGACCAAAGGGGUCCAGCCCACUGGCCUCAGGGGAAGAGGUGUCCCUGCACUACAGGAGAAUCUCCCCAAGGGCUCAGCCUGGAAACACCUGUCCAUCAACCAGAGGAUUUACACCAAACUUCAAAUCCAGCUUGUUAAAAAGUAGAGGACUGUCAACUCCCCAGGUAUGGAGCCCAGGCCCCUGAGGCAGGAAGAUGAGAAAACUGAGACACUGAAAGCUGGAAAGAGACAGAGACUGGACUCCAAUGGUGCUUUUCUGACUCUAUUCAUUACAAGCUGCUUCCUCAACACCAAACUUGGCAGAUGAGGUCCUUGCCUUGCAGGAGUAUCUUUGCACAUGUCUAGAUUUGGAGUCACAGAGACAUGGAUUGGAGUCCCAGCCACACUGCUUUACAAAUGUGAAUUAACAGAUCGAUUGACUUCUCUGGCCCUUGCUUUUUUCAUUGAUAAAACAUGCACAGUGGACUCUGCCUUCUAUUUCAUCAAGCCAUUGUCAGAAUCGACAUAAAGAUGAAACAAUGUAAACGUUUCCUAAUUCAGUGGAUGUAUCUGCUUUACCGUCUUUCUUAUUGCAUUAACAUUUAUGUAACAUGUUUGUCAUCCCUGCAGGUCUGGGAGUCCUUGAAACCGAAUGUAGUCCAGCCCUGCUCAUGUUCUCAGAGCUCCUCAGACAUAUAGAUGCCCUUUUCCUUGCGUCCCUAACUUCCCUCCUCUUGAGGGUCCCACUGAGAGGACAAGGCUAAGGCAGUAGAGAUAAGUUCUGGAGAAAUAGGAUAUGGAUGCAACCGAAAACUGUAGCUAGGAUUUCAAGGUCAAGAGAGCCAGCCCCCUGCCUCAGGCCUCACUGGUGCUGGCUGGUCAUUAACACAGCUCUGGGUUCUUCUUGGCCUUCAAAUGAAAAGACAUUUCAUGCCCAAGGACCACAGUAAUGAGGAACCAGGGAGGGGCUGGGCAGCCUGCAGCCUCAGCAAAAGCUUCCGCUCCUCAGAGGCCUACCCUCCUUCCUCCCCCCUCCUCCAUCCCUCUGAAGUCAGCGAAAAGUUUGAACAGCUUCUGGAAGAACGAGGUUCGGUUCGUUUGUCUUUGGAGCAGCCAGAGGGGUGAGGGACACUGGCAAGGCCUCUGCUCCCACCUCUCUACAAAGGCCAAACCAUCUUUACGUCAGAGAGGUCAUAGGGCCUGUGGGGACAGGGCCUGGAAGAUGGGGGCGUGGGGGCGAUGCUUUACCAUCCUUUACCUUCGUCUCCAGCCCUCUUUCCCUUCAAACUGGGGCUCUACCUGGUCAGGCCAGCACUACCAACUGCAACCUGCCAUUCCUGCCCUGGGCUACAAGUGACUUUGCUGAAUGCUGCAGACCUGUCUGAAUCUGUCUGGGGCAUUGCAGACUUACGACGACAUCCCUUCACGUAUUUACGAAGCAUUAGGCUUGAUGCUCUUUUCUCUUUUCUCUUUCUCUCCACCCUACCUCACCUGUUCGGUCUCCCUCCUGAGUGCUCUUGGAAACCUUCUUAACCAGCCCUUUUGCCCAACUUGUACAGUGUGCGCACACAAACACAUACGCCAGCUCACAGGUACAUGCAGACCCUCACCCUCAAAAACACAUGUAAAACUCCUGAACAUAGUACCUCAGUCUGUCCUCGAGGUCCUGAGUCCCCCUCUGCAGACAUGCAGCUGCGCUGUCUCCCACUGAAAAACGUGCACCCAGAGAAGCACAACCACACAGGUUGACAUGUUCAUACAGAAGGACGCACAAACACAAAUACACAACCAAUCAAAUGCCAAGCCAGUUUCUGAAGUUGAUGCUGCCAUCGAAUCUUCCAGAGAUUGUCAGGGAUCAGAGAAAUGCCUUCUUUUAUCCUUGGCGGGAAUUCUGUGUACAGAGCGUAAUAUAUGCUCAGGGUAUUUGGGGCUCCUACAAUUGUAUGACAGGAUUGGGAAAAACCACUCCCCAGAAGGUACCUGAGCUCUGAGUC